AUGAUGAGCCAGCUGAGAAUCCAACUCACACACCACCCCAACACAACCCGGCCGGCAAAACUAGCCAGCAACGUACGUGCGGCUGCUUUUCUGCUCUCCGGACGUGACCAAGAGAAUAUGUCAGAAGAGCUGGCAAUGUUGGGACGAGCGGGUGUAGUUGGAGAUUCGUCGCACCCUCAACAUCAAGAUAUCCCUAGUGACCAUAGUCCGCAAAUGUCGAUUGAUGAGUUGCUGGAGGUAAUAAAAAGAGCCAAUGGAAUGCCGGUGUUGUUCAUUCCCUCCAGCGAUGGGCGGCUGGAAUAG
Molecule: ribosomal RNA, 303 nt
Filed under: Triticum aestivum (bread wheat)
Lineage: Eukaryota; Viridiplantae; Streptophyta; Magnoliopsida; Poales; Poaceae
Description: partial small subunit ribosomal RNA
Source: RNAcentral